This 467-nucleotide ribosomal RNA is filed under the name uncultured bacterium. Its description in RNAcentral is "partial 16S ribosomal RNA". It matches the Rfam family "Bacterial small subunit ribosomal RNA", at positions 28 to 506 of the family's 1533-position model. The record is from RNAcentral.
GACGAACGCUGGCGGCGUGCUUAACACAUGCAAGUCGAACGGAAAGGCCCUGCUUUUGUGGGGUGCUCGAGUGGCGAACGGGUGAGUAACACGUGAGUAACCUGCCCUUGACUUUGGGAUAACUUCAGGAAACUGGGGCUAAUACCGGAUAGGAGCUCCUGCUGCAUGGUGGGGGUUGGAAAGUUUCGGCGGUUGGGGAUGGACUCGCGGCUUAUCAGCUUGUUGGUGGGGUAGUGGCUUACCAAGGCUUUGACGGGUAGCCGGCCUGAGAGGGUGACCGGCCACAUGGGGACUGAGAUACGGCCCAGACUCCUACGGGAGGCAGCAGUGGGGAAUAUUGCACAAUGGGCGGAAGCCUGAUGCAGCAACGCCGCGUGCGGGAUGACGGCCUUCGGGUUGUAAACCGCUUUCGCCUGUGACGAAGCGUGAGGGACGGGAAUGGGUAAAGAAGCACCGGCGAACUACGU